UACGUAGGGUGCGAGCGUUAUCCGGAAUUAUUGGGCGUAAAGAGCUCGUAGGCGGUUUGUCGCGUCUGCCGUGAAAGUCCGGGGCUUAACCCCGGAUCUGCGGUGGGUACGGGCAGACUAGAGUGCAGUAGGGGAGACUGGAAUUCCUGGUGUAGCGGUGAAAUGCGCAGAUAUCAGGAGGAACACCGAUGGCGAAGGCAGGUCUCUGGGCUGUAACUGACGCUGAGGAGCGAAAGCAUGGGGAGCGAACAGG
Molecule: ribosomal RNA, 253 nt
Filed under: uncultured bacterium
Lineage: Bacteria
Description: partial 16S ribosomal RNA
Rfam family: Bacterial small subunit ribosomal RNA
Source: RNAcentral